Molecule: long non-coding RNA, 822 nt
Organism: Oncorhynchus tshawytscha (Chinook salmon)
Lineage: Eukaryota; Metazoa; Chordata; Actinopteri; Salmoniformes; Salmonidae
Source: Ensembl
CAAAGUUGAAUGAGAUGGAAAUCAUGACGCAAGCGGUUUACAAAUGUUUCGUGUUAGGCUAUAAAAAUGGAUGUUAUCAAACAAAACGAACAUUCACUGUGUAGUUAGGACACUUGUCAUUGCCACCAGAGGAAGAUCUUCAAUGGAUCUCGGUGCAACUUCUCUCUGCACACACCCUUGCUGCAUCCAGGUUCCUGUAGUGAUGUCUCGGAGUUGUACAUGAUCUCCAGGUUUCAGUUCAGGAAGAAAACCGUUACAGAAUCACCCACCACAACAGGACCAAGCGGCGUGGUGACAGGCAGCGGCAGCAGGAGCAGUGAAGUAUGGAUUAUACUACUUGGGAGGAAAUAGACAGGUGGGCGGUUGACCCAGGGAGAGUGCCGGAGCCCGCAUGGGAUUUGCUGGAGCAGUGCAGGGAACGUUAUAGGAGAAUGGAGUUGGAGAGAUAAACACGGCGGCGUGGAUGGAAGCCGGAGAGUCAGCCCCAAAAAUUUCUUGGGGGGGCACAGGGAGAGUGUGGCAGAGUCAGGAGUCAGACCUGAGCCAACUCCCCCUGUUUAUCGUAAGGAGCCAAGGAGGAAACCAGAACCAGAGCCGGUGUUGGAGGUGAGCGAAGCAGAGACUGUGAAGGAGUUAAUGGGGAAAUUGGAGGAGAGAGUUAUGAGGGAGUUGCUGUGUUGGUACAUGAGGCACGUAAUUCGUCCGACGGAGAGUGUCGGGGAUUUGAUGGCACCUGGGUCAGCGCUCCAUACUCGUCCUGAGGUGCGUGCUAGUCGGCUGGUGAAGAUUGUGCCAGCCUCAUGCACCAGGCCUCCUGUGCAC